UACAAUAUCUUUAUUUUAUUUUUAUGUGGUACUGAGGAUGGAACCCAGUGCCUCAUGCAUGCUAGAAGAGCGCUCUACCUCUGAGCCCCAGCCCAGGAAACCUCACAAUCUUAAGCCUGUUUCAACCUUUUCUAACCACAACCUAAGGAGUUUUAACUUGCCAAAGGGGUGAGUCCUUGUUGGUUUUCAUUUUUUUAAAUAACCUGGGGGUUGUAUCUAACCCAAAUUCAUACCAAAAAUCAUCUCAGAAGUAGUUUUAGUAGCAGCAGCAACUCAGCAGACUUCACCUUGUAGAUAAUUCCUAGUCAAGGUGACUCUUAGACAAUCAUUUUAUCAGUAAUGUCUGAAAUUGUAAAAUACACACACACACACACACACACGCACGCACGCACACAGAUCAUCAAUUAGACAUAAAAUGUGGGCAAAAUCAAAUGGUUACAAUAUCAGUGUCCUAUUUGGCUUUAUUUUUCUCCUGGAAUCACCAGUGUUUUGUCUACAGUGCUGGAGAUUUAACCCAGGGCCUCACACCUGCUGCUCAAGGGCUCUACCCUGAGCUACAUCCCCAGCCCUUUUUAUGAUUUUAAGGCAGAGUCUCACUAAGUGGCUGAGGCUGGCCUGGAACUUGGGCUCCUCCUGCCUCAGCCUCCCCAGCAGCUGGGACUACAGGUGCGUGCCACCAGGCCCAGCUCUGGAAUCACCUGUUUAUGCAGGUGAUCCACACAUGUGCAGAACUCAGGAGUGGACACUUCUGAUGGAUUUCAGACAAAUCCAUCCUGAUUGCAAUUAAACAAUUUAUCUUUAAAAGAACUUUUUUCCUGACUUGAAAAGAUUUUUUUGUCUUUAUGGCCAUCUUAUCGUUGAAACCAGCUUUCACAUCCUUCCAAAUGGCACUAGACCAAAUAACACGGGUGCCAUCACCAUAUAAAGGUAAAUUUGCUGAAUUUGAGCUCUGUUUUCAUCAUUGUUUCUUAAAAACAGAAUGCACGUGAGGGGAGAACUAUUAACCCAAAGAAAAUAAAUCGAGCGAAUCAGCAGGUCCGUCAGGACGGCUGCGGGUUAGUGCUUCAUUUUUCUUGGGUUUGGGUUUUUCCCAGCGUGAUGGCAUUUCUUCUUUGUUGUGUUUUUCCCUUUCGUAAAAGAAGGGAAAAUUGGACUUGCUUCUGAUUGGAGCAUGACGAGUUUUCAGAAUGUAAUAUAAGUUCUUACAAGGUGAGCCUUAGGUCUGGGUGUCUGCGUGGGUUCAGUAAACGGUACUGGAAGAGAGUCUCUGUGGAUAAAGAAUGACUUCCACUGACCUGCUCUCCACAGGCCAUUUUAUUUGAGUGUUUUCCUCAUUUUAAUGGGGUAUCUCAAGACAUCUCUGCUGGAUCAGGGACACUCAGCAUGUGGUUGAGCUCCCAGGGCAGAGUAACACCUGUGUUUGUGGAAUGGAUGGACUCUGUGCCCUGGCUGUCGGUGAUUAACGAUGCCGUGCUGUGACCAAGAGACAGAAUCAGGAGCAGAGGGAGGUUACGUCGUAAGUUGGAGACUUAAUCUGAAAUUUAUGAUCUCAGAUACAGUGACCAAAUUCUUUUGGGGUCUGUGUAGUCACGUGCACUAUUUAAAUUGUUCUAUAUAAAGAAGAAUAGAAAAAUAAGAAAACCAAGUGGCAUUUGGAAGUUAGUCAAACGAGCCGAUUCUCUGGUCUUCAGACUAAAAUCAGUUAUCGAGUGUCCAGCACCGAGUUCCACCCAGAAGUAAAAUCGUUUGAGAAAAGUGAUUUGUUGAAGGGGCAACUCAAGGGAGAAUGUUCCUGUUACAGUGAAAUGAAAUGUGUUUUUUAACAGCCUGAAACAUCAAAAGGUUUCAAUAAAUGAAUGUUUGAUUGAAUCUAUUGUACUUUUCUAGCCAAAAGCUCAAUAGAUUUAGUCAGCUUCAAGGCUACAUUAAAUAUUGGAGAAUCACGGACGUUGAAAGGUAGAAGAAAUCCUGGUCAAGGAUAUCCAGUGGGCUCAUGAUCAUGGCUUGUUUUAGCACUCCUUUUUCACUUGCACACUGAGAACUAUGAAACCUCAAUAUGAUCUCCUUGGUGUCUGUAGGGAAUGGGUUCCCGGAUCCCCAUGGAUCCCAAACUCUGUGGGUGUUCUUACCUGAAAGGCAGAGCCUGCGCACAUCCUCCUGAGUACUUAAAGUCACCUCCAGAUUCCUGAUGAUGACUUAUCAAUGCAAGGCUGUAAAACCCCAGAUGGAGGCAUGGCACACGCCUGUCAUCCCAGCUACUUGGGAGGCUAAGGCAAGAGGAUUACAAGUUCAAGGUCAGCUUGGACAACUCAGGGAGACCUUGUCUCAAUGUAAAAAGGGUGAGGAGGUAGCUCCGUGGAGGAGAGUCGGUACAACUUCCUGGGUUCCGUCCCCAGUACUGAAAAAAAAAAAAAAAAGGUGGGAGGACUUGUCUUUGCCCUGCAUGAGGUGGCUCCGGGUCUUCGGACAUGUGCCCAUCGUUUUUUGGGUACUUCUUUACUCUUUAGCGAUAUUCAGGAUCACGUUGUGCCUUCUCUGCCCCCGCCCGGGGAUCCGCCGUUUCACUGACGACUUUCUGCGAAGUGUUUAGAAAUCAACGUGCGGAGGCAGCUGUGUUGCUUCUCUUGGACGGUCACUGUUCCUGGCCUCUCGCUGGACACAGCUAGGAAAUGUAGAGGCACAGACAUAUUUACAGGUGCCCUGUGGAACCUUCUCCUCCCAACUCCAGGAAAUGCUAAGGGAUACGUUUCCAUUCUUCUCCCUUUUCAAAUUUAUGGCACUUCUCUCUGAGAGAAGAAAUUUGCUUCCGUGACCUCGUA
Molecule: long non-coding RNA, 2819 nt
Organism: Ictidomys tridecemlineatus (thirteen-lined ground squirrel)
Lineage: Eukaryota; Metazoa; Chordata; Mammalia; Rodentia; Sciuridae
Source: RefSeq, a predicted model, not a curated record